AUGGAGAGCCCCACAUCGGCGGCGUCGCGGGUGGACUUCUACGGCUUCCUCGACCGCAUGCGCCGCCCGGAGGCCGCCGACCUCUUCCGCUCCAUCAAGAGCUUCCUCGCCUCCCUCUCCCUCGACGAGCCCAGCGCGGAGGCGGACGGCGCCAGGGUCCAGGCCUUCUUCGCGGAGAUGGAGGCAGCCAUCCGGGGGCACCCGCUCUGGGCCGACGCCACCCACCAGGAAAUCGACCACGCGCUCGAGGGCCUCGAGAAGUACAUCAUGACCAAGCUGUUCGACCGCACCUUUGCGGCGUCGCCGGAGGACGCGGCGGCCGACGCCGAGGUCUCGGACAAGAUCGGCCUCCUGCAGCGCUUUGUCAGGCCCCAUCACCUCGACAUACCCAAGGUCCUCAACAACGAGGCUUCCUGGCUGAUUGCAGUUAAAGAACUACAGAAGAUUAAUUCCUUCAAGUCCCCGUGGGAGAAGCUUCUCUGUAUGAUGAGCUGUUGCCAAGUCAUCAAUAACUUGCUGCUAAACGUGUCCAUGACAAAUGACCGGACACCGUCUGGCGCUGAUGAGUUCCUUCCCAUUCUCAUUUAUAUUACCAUCAAGGCCAAUCCUCCUCAGCUGCACUCAAAUCUGAAGUUUGUUCAACUCUUCAGAAGAGAAACUAAGCUUGUUUCAGAAGUCGAAUACUAUCUCACAAACCUCAUUUCAGCAAAGAUGUUUAUAAUUAAUGUUAAUGGCCACUCGCUAUCCAUAGAAGAAAGUGAGUUUCAGAAGCAUAUGGAAUCUGCAAAACUAGGCACUCAGAUGUCUGUUGCUAGCCCUAGUAGUUCACAAGGGUUGGCUACAUCUACGAGCGGAUUACAGAAGCAAAUUGAUGCAGAAGCAGGUUCAAGAUUCCCUUUCAUGGACUCGGAAACUGAAAAUCUGACGCAAGCGGAACUGAAGCAGUUACAUGGGCUCUACAGGAAGACAGUGACCAGAUAUACACUGUUGUCUAAAGCCUUAAGAAAGUUAUCCAUAGAUGAGGAUCAGCUCCUCGCAUCAGUAGAUGAUUCAUGA
Molecule: ribosomal RNA, 1056 nt
Filed under: Triticum aestivum (bread wheat)
Lineage: Eukaryota; Viridiplantae; Streptophyta; Magnoliopsida; Poales; Poaceae
Description: partial small subunit ribosomal RNA
Source: RNAcentral